RNAcentral lists this ribosomal RNA (1530 nucleotides) under Triticum aestivum (bread wheat). Its description in RNAcentral is "partial small subunit ribosomal RNA". The record is from RNAcentral. Lineage: Eukaryota; Viridiplantae; Streptophyta; Magnoliopsida; Poales; Poaceae.
AUGAAGGAGUACUGGACGAUGCUGGCGUCGCUCAUGGGCGCGCUGGCGUUCCUGCAAGGGGUGCUGCACGCCGUGUUCCCCGCGGAGCUGCGGGCGGCGCUGGCGCGGCUGCUCGGGCGCCUCACCCGAGCCUUCUCGCCCUACUGCUACUUCGACGUCACGGAGACGGACGGGAUGAGCAACAACGAGAUCUACGACGCCGUGCAGCUCUACCUCAGCAGCACGGCCGCGCCGGCGUCGGGGGCCCGGCUCAGCCUCACGCGCCCGCACAACGCCACCUCCUUCACCUUCGGGCUCGCCGCCAGCGACCGCGUCGUCGACGCCUUCCGCGGCGCGGCCGUCACGUGGGAGCACGUGGUGGCGCCGCGCCAGUCCCCCGGCUUCUCCUGGCGCCCGCUCCCCGAGGAGAAGCGCCGGUUCACGCUCCGGAUCCGUCGCGGCGACAGGGAGAAGCUGCUACCGGCCUACCUCGACCACAUCCUCGCCACGGCGCAGGAGAUCCGCCGCCGGAGCCAGGACAGGCUGCUCUACACCAACGCGCGCGGCGGGGCCAUGGACUCGCGCGGCCUCCCCUGGGACCCCGUCCCCUUCAAGCACCCCAGCACGUUCGACACCCUCGCCAUGGACCCCGACCGCAAGGCGUCCAUCAUGGCCGACCUCCGCGACUUCGCCGCCGGCAGCUCGUUCUACGAGCGCACGGGCCGCGCCUGGAAGCGCGGCUACCUCCUUUACGGCCCGCCGGGGACAGGCAAGUCCAGCAUGAUCGCGGCCAUGGCCAACUUCCUCGGGUACGACGUGUACGACCUCGAGCUCACCGAGGUGAGCAGCAAUGCCGAGCUGCGGAAGCUGCUGAUGAAGACCACGUCCAAGUCCAUCAUCGUGAUCGAGGACAUCGACUGCUCCGUCGACCUCACCAACCGGGCGGCCCUGCCUCCGGCGCCGAAGCCGCGGCCAACCCUCGACGGCGCGAUCGACCAGGACGCGGGGGCGGCGUCGGGGCGGUCGAUCACGCUCUCCGGCCUCCUCAACUUCACCGACGGGCUGUGGUCGUGCUGCGGGUCGGAGCGCAUCUUUGUCUUCACCACUAACCACAUCGAGAAGCUGGACCCGGCGCUGCUCCGGUCCGGCCGGAUGGACAUGCACGUCUUCAUGAGCUACUGCACGUUCCCGGCGCUCAAGAUCCUCCUCAAGAACUACCUCUGCCUCCAGGACGACGGCGCCGAGGUGAUGCGUGGGCUGGAGGAAUGGAUCGAGGCGGCGGAGAUCACGCCGGCGGAUGUGAGCGAGGUGCUGAUCAAGAACCGGAGGAACGGGAAGGAGAGGGCGAUGGAGGAGCUGCUGGAGGUCCUGAAAACGCGCGCCGAGAAGCGGCGGCUCGACGGCGGGAAGGCGGCGGCGGCGGCGAAGGACAACGACGAAGAGGAAGAGAAGAGGGCCCUGGAGAGCCCCAAGGAAGGGAAAGGGCCGGCCGGCAAGGACAGCUGCGGGGACGGACAGGACGAGGAGACGGAUGCCAAGAAACAGCUGUGA